ACGAACGCUGGCGGCGUGCCUAAUACAUGCAAGUAGAACGCUGAAGGAGGAGCUUGCUUCUCUGGAUGAGUUGCGAACGGGUGAGUAGCGCGUAGGUAACCUGCCUGUUAGCGGGGGAUAACUAUUGGAAACGAUAGCUAAUACCGCAUAAUAGCAGUUGUUGCAUGACAACUGUUUGAAAGGUGCAAUUGCACCACUACCAGAUGGACCUGCGUUGUAUUAGCUAGUUGGUGGGGUAACGGCUCACCAAGGCGACGAUACAUAGCCGACCUGAGAGGGUGAUCGGCCACACUGGGACUGAGACACGGCCCAGACUCCUACGGGAGGCAGCAGUAGGGAAUCUUCGGCAAUGGACGGAAGUCUGACCGAGCAACGCCGCGUGAGUGAAGAAGGUUUUCGGAUCGUAAAGCUCUGUUGUAAGAGAAGAACGAGUGUGAGAGUGGAAAGUUCACACUGUGACGGUAUCUUACCAGAAAGGGACGGCUAACUACGUG
RNAcentral lists this ribosomal RNA (494 nucleotides) under uncultured bacterium. RNAcentral describes it as "partial 16S ribosomal RNA". It matches the Rfam family "Bacterial small subunit ribosomal RNA", at positions 29 to 507 of the family's 1533-position model. The record is from RNAcentral.